UCUUGUCAUCGCCCGAGACCCGGUCCUGUUCUUGGCCCAAAGUCUUUGUUGUUCCUCGCUUCUCAUACUGUGCUGAGAUGAUACUUCACUCCGGAAAUAAUGAGUUCAAUGCCCAUGGAACCUUGUUGUCUCCUACCCCAAAAACACGUUCUGAUAUUCUUGAGGGCCUAGCUGAAGAAAUCAUGAAGUAUACAGCAUAUCCAAAGGAUGAGCAGUUAGAAGAAGUGGCCAAGGCUCUGAUACAGUCCCACCCAUGUCUGUUGGAGAAAGGCACUCGUGGUGGCUACUGUGGUUGGAAGCACUACUUGAAAAUAAAGAUGAUGAACUUCAGAUCAAAGCUCAGCCGAGCUGGACAUCCUGAGGUUGCAGUCAACUCUCUGAAGAAUAAACGGAAAGGCCAGGAGAAGCCAGCGGCCAACAUCAAGAAGCCCAGGAAGGCAGAAGUUAAUUUCUGUCCAAACAUACCCAGAGGUGAAACAAGAGAGAGUAUGGAGGCGGAAAGGGUGGCUCUACUGACAGAGUUAAAAAAGAAGAAACAGAAUGAGGCUGAGAUCAAGAAGAUGAUGCAGCAUACCUUCUCGAUCAGAAGGCAGGAGGUUCUCCAGGAGCCAGCGAUUCCAGAGUUCCGAGACAGAUGGCCAGCACUCUUUGAUGUCAGUGAGAUUAACUUGGAGUUCAUGCGACUGACAACUGUACCUCUGACCUCCAAAUUCCUCGGAGAACUGGACCGUCAGACAGACAACCUGAUCAAGGUUUUUAAUGCCAAAGGCGGAGUUGCAGGAAGAAAGAUCACCGCCAUAAUGGCCCAGAUGGAUAAUGCGUGAUUGUGUGCUGAGCUGUCUGAGCAUCUACCUCAAUGAAGACCUGGACACACUGGUUAAAGAAUAUGUGGACAUUGAAUCCAGAGAGGCUGAGGCAGACAUUGCAGAGAAGACCAUGGGCAUCUACACUGUCCGAGCAGAAGAUCAUGGUCCUGAUGGUCCAGGUGAUGGACACUUUGCUGAUGUUGUUGUUGUGCUGGAAGGCAUGGAAGUUCUCCAUAACCUGCAGAGUGUCAGCCAUGCAUGCGUGAUGCUUUAUGGGCUGAUUUAUGCACUUAACUUAAGCUAUCCAAAAAGCCUGACGCGUACAUUCGAGGUGUACCAGAAAAUCCUAAUGGAUCUGGACUCAACCAAGCUUUCACCAAAGGUACAGGCACUAAAACUCAAAUUGCUCCAUUGAUUUGGUUGUCAAUAAUGCACUUACACAGUCCCUGCUUUAUUUUUCUUCAACCCCGACAGAAUUUUGUGUUUAAGUUAUUCCUUAGUUCUUGAAGUUUACCUGUUUUAUAAAUUUGUAUCUGUAAAGGAUAUUUUUGUUUCUCUGGUGUUGAAUCAUUUAACAGGGGUGUGAGUGUGGCUGUGUUGGUGGGUUCAGAUUGGUAGUUUCUAAAGUGUUAGCUGGCAGUGUUGUAGUGGCUCAGCUCAAGCCAGAUUUUUAUUGAAUUGUUUCCAGGUUCAAUGGGAGCUAGUUAAGUGUUUUAAAAGGUACUAAAAAAGUUCUUCAUUUCCUACCAAAGCCUUUGGUCACUCAAG
RNA transcript from Trichomycterus rosablanca, 1574 nucleotides. It is a transcript of the gene named sterile alpha motif domain-containing protein 3-like, with no coding region annotated. The transcript has 5 exons. The record is from RefSeq and is a predicted model, not a curated record. NCBI's taxonomy places the organism in Eukaryota, Metazoa, Chordata, Actinopteri, Siluriformes, Trichomycteridae.